RNAcentral lists this ribosomal RNA (449 nucleotides) under uncultured bacterium. RNAcentral describes it as "partial 16S ribosomal RNA". It matches the Rfam family "Bacterial small subunit ribosomal RNA", at positions 29 to 523 of the family's 1533-position model. The record is from RNAcentral.
AGCGAACGCUGGCGGCAGGCCUAACACAUGCAAGUCGAACGAACUCUUCGGAGUUAGUGGCGGACGGGUGAGUAACACGUGGGAACGUGCCUUUAGGUCCGGAAUAACUCAGGGAAACUUGUGCUAAUACCGAAUGUGCCCUUCGGGGGAAAGAUUUAUCGCCUUUAGAGCGGCCCGCGUCUGAUUAGCUAGUUGGUGAGGUAAAGGCUCACCAAGGCGACGAUCAGUAGCUGGUCUGAGAGGAUGAUCAGCCACAUUGGGACUGAGACACGGCUCAAACGCCUACGGGAGGCAGCAGUGGAGAAUCUUGCGCAAUGGGCGAAAGCCUGACGCAGCCAUGCCGCGUGAAUGAUGAAGGUCUUAGGAUUGUAAAAUUCUUUCACCGGGGACGGUAAUGACGGUACCCGGAGAAGAAGCCCCGGCUAACUUCGUGCCAGCAGCCGCCGCAG